UACGGAGGAUCCAAGCGUUAUCCGGAUUUAUUGGGUUUAAAGGGUGCGUAGGCGGAUUGAUAAGUUAGAGGUGAAAUGUCCGAGCUCAACUCGGGAACUGCCUCUAAUACUGUUGAUCUAGAGAGUAGAUGCGGUAGGCGGAAUGUAUGGUGUAGCGGUGAAAUGCUUAGAUAUCACGAAGAACCCCGAUUGCGAAGGCAGCCUGCCGCAGCGUUACUGACGCUGAAGCUCGAAAGCGCGAGUAUCGAACAGG
This 253-nucleotide ribosomal RNA is filed under the name uncultured Rikenellaceae bacterium. Its description in RNAcentral is "partial 16S ribosomal RNA". It matches the Rfam family "Bacterial small subunit ribosomal RNA", at positions 524 to 776 of the family's 1533-position model. Lineage: Bacteria; Pseudomonadati; Bacteroidota; Bacteroidia; Bacteroidales; Rikenellaceae. The record is from RNAcentral.